This 255-nucleotide ribosomal RNA is filed under the name Triticum aestivum (bread wheat). RNAcentral describes it as "partial small subunit ribosomal RNA". The record is from RNAcentral. Lineage: Eukaryota; Viridiplantae; Streptophyta; Magnoliopsida; Poales; Poaceae.
ACAUUUCUCUUGCUUGCUUCGUGGGAGCUUUGGAAUGAACUGAAUGGACAGUUCUUCAGGAAUGUAUCUUCUAUGCCUAGAGUAGUUGAGCGUUAAAUCAAAGAUGAAUCAGCCUUGUGGGUUUUUGCUGGGGCAAAGCAUUUAAGUUUGAUCAUGCCAGAUCCUCAAAAGACAAACUUUGAUCAUGCCACGAGAGUAGAAACUUUCGGACACGAGAGUUUGUUCUCUUGUAACUAUUUCCAAAUUCUUUCCUAA